RNAcentral lists this ribosomal RNA (87 nucleotides) under Acinetobacter baumannii. RNAcentral's name for it is "partial 16S ribosomal RNA". It matches the Rfam family "Bacterial small subunit ribosomal RNA", at positions 1 to 86 of the family's 1533-position model. Lineage: Bacteria; Pseudomonadati; Pseudomonadota; Gammaproteobacteria; Moraxellales; Moraxellaceae. RNAcentral also lists the same sequence under 1 other name. The record is from RNAcentral.
UAACUGAAGAGUUUGAUCAUGGCUCAGAUUGAACGCUGGCGGCAGGCUUAACACAUGCAAGUCGAGCGGGGGAAGGUAGCUUGCUAC